UUUAUGGAGAGUUUGAUCCUGGCUCAGGAUGAACGCUGGCGGCGUGCCUAAUACAUGCAAGUCGAGCGAACGGACGAGAAGCUUGCUUCUCUGAUGUUAGCGGCGGACGGGUGAGUAACACGUGGAUAACCUACCUAUAAGACUGGGAUAACUUCGGGAAACCGGAGCUAAUACCGGAUGAUAUUUUGAACCGCAUGGUUCAAAAGUGAAAGACGGUCUUGCUGUCACUUAUAGAUGGAUCCGCGCUGCAUUAGCUAGUUGGUAAGGUAACGGCUUACCAAGGCAACGAUGCAUAGCCGACCUGAGAGGGUGAUCGGCCACACUGGAACUGAGACACGGUCCAGACUCCUACGGGAGGCAGCAGUAGGGAAUCUUCC
Molecule: ribosomal RNA, 377 nt
Filed under: Staphylococcus aureus
Lineage: Bacteria; Bacillati; Bacillota; Bacilli; Caryophanales; Staphylococcaceae
Description: bacterial SSU rRNA
Rfam family: Bacterial small subunit ribosomal RNA
Source: RNAcentral